GAUGAUAAAAUCAUCGUUCGUGCGAUGUAGGCGACGUGGAAAUUAACCGUUCGUAGUCGUUGUACAUACUCGUAGUAACGUGUGUAUCAUAGAAACUGAAAUUUCUUACAUUGCUUGGAACGAGACGCCUCGAACGUUCGAGAUGCUCGACGGAAUCGAGGCUGUCGCGUGAAAUAUCUCCGUCGUUUUCCGAAAGAUUUCGAGCGAACUUGUACAGAGUGGUUUCUGAUAAAAUAUUUAAAUGAAAAUUUAUGUAAAAAUUCGAUAAAAGUUUUCGAGUGGUGUUUUCCUAGAAUUUGACUUUCUAUUCGAAAAGUAUAGCCACCUUCUCUACGUAGCACCGCGUGUCUUUUUCAUACGCGUUGACCGUUGUAUUUAUCGUGUGUGCGUGUGCGUGCAAACACUAGAAUAAGAUGUAUAGAAUCGAUAUUUCAUCGGUCGUCACUCUGUCUAAUUUCUACGUUUCUCACUCCGAUUUCCAUUCAGCUGUGCGAUUAAAUCUCUUCUUUCGGGUAAAAGUUACGACAACUUCAACGAUAACAAGAUACACGAAAAUAUCUGCUAAUUCGAGAAGAUUUAAAUUUAAAGUUAAAAAAGUGCCGAAAGACGGAACACGCGAACGAGCGUUCGAGUAUCCUCGUUCGAACCGCGUUCGCGCUCGAAAUUCUCUCGGUUGACCACGCAUCGGAAUCAAUCGCAUUCCCGCCGCCAGAUCUACUCUCCAAACCGAAGAAAGUGCCAACCAAUUUGUAAAUACGGUAUCGUCUUGCCGGAGUCGUGUAGCAGAGCGAAUGGUAAUUCUCUAUCGCGUAACGAGCGUUCCGUUGUGUCGCGUCUGUUUUUUCCGAUUCGGUUCGCGAUCCAGUGCUCGCAUCCGAGAAAAGCCUGUACGCGCGAUAAUUUUUGUUCCGAGCGACGUAUUCUAUCGCGCGAAAAUCACGUCCAUCGUGUCCUCGACAUUGCGAUUACGACGAUCGAAUCGUCGUUCGUAUAGCUGAUUACGAUCGAGCGUCACCGAGUACAAAUUCCAUUGUCCUGUCCGAUGUAUAUGCUCGCGAGAGACAAUUCGAAGGAAAAAAAGGUCUGAUCGUGUAAAUUCGUUUCGACGUUCUUUUUCUCUCAUUCUACUUUAGGAAAUCGUUUAUUCGUUUAUUUUUUUACUCGUUAUAGGAUUUCACUCGUAUUUUUUAUAUCUAUGUAUGUUUUUCCUAUUGAAAACGUAUUUUAAGAGUAGAAGUUACGCUCUUAUCGAGAGAGGACUCUUCGAACCUGCGCGAGCAAAACAGAUCGUGACUUGUUUCUUCAAGAAGAGAAAAAAAAAAAGAAAAAAAGGAAGAAAGGAAAAAAGGGAAGCGUACAACCGUCAUUCGUCGCUAAAGUCUUCCCAAAAGAAAAAGAAGAAAAAAAAAAGAGAAAGAAGAUAAGAAAGUAUAGUACAUUUAGAGCAGUACAAACGAGAUGACAGAGCAAACUAAUUUCAAAAUACGAUUAUAUCGAACGAAAAGUUUAAAAAAAAAAAAGAAAAGAAAAUUAAAGAAGUCGUGAUCCGUAAGUGCAAGGUCCACGUCUAUAUAGUAUUUUUAUUAUAAUAAGCGAUCGAAAGUGUAAAUGCCGAUUAUAUAAAGGGGUAAAAAGGAAGAGAUAAAGAAAAGAUAAGUAGAAGGUUCUAUUUCUCCCAAACAAAUGUUUUAUAUAAGCUAUUUUUAGUAAACGUUUAGCGCACCCGUUCCGAUGGGUAGUCAAUGCGAGAACUCGCCGUGUUUAAAGUUCUAAUUGCCUCGGAAUGUUCUUCGUUCUCUCGAUAUCGUAGAUCCGCGAAAGUAUAGAUGUUACGCGAGCGAAGAGAUAAGAAAGAAGAAAGAAAAUGAAGAUAACCGACGUCUAUGUGCUUCUGAAAAAUAUCGUCUAGCGCCCAUCGAAAUGAAUUUCUCUCAAAGUGUUCGACUUUCGUUGCAGGAUCGACGACGCGUUAAAUCGAAUAAUUACAGCGAUCUAUAAAUCGAUCGUCGUCGAUGGAACAAAGAGCUUCAGGUAGUUGCCAAGAAUCCUGCGACGUUCGAGGACUCGUAAGAUUCGUAAAGAACGUCUGUCCGGUGAUUUCUUACAACUUUUCUAACACGAUCCGAGUGGAUGUGUUUUUAUACUUGUAUUUUGCGCGUUGAUAGAAAAGAACCAGUUAGUCGCCUUUCUUUAUCCAUUAAGAACACGAAAAAUUGUUUGUGGCCAUAUCUGACCAUCGAUUUCUUUCGAUCGCCGUUAAAUCAUUACCAAAGAUAGAGAACAUUUUGUUCGAUCGCGUCCUGAGAAAUUUAUCCUCGACGGAUUCCAAUUAAAAGUCGAAACUUUUCUCGGCUAAAUCUUCUUCCGAGUCGCGAACGAGCGCGUAGACGAUUUCUAUUAUUACAAACGAGUUCUAUAACGCGUAACUUUCUGAAUUUUUUACCAAUCUUCGAUCGACGUAACGAAAGAGUUUCUUCGUAGCUUGUAUAACGAUUCACGAGGUUCUAUAUGUCCGAGCGAGUCGCGAUCCCGUCGGCGUGUUACUUCUAUUAUAAUACUACAAAUUAUCUUCGCGUAACGCGAGUUGCAAAAAGAGAAAAACAGGAUGGAAGGGUGAUAAAGAGGAAUACGCGCCUUGUCGUUCCAGCCUAGUUGAGCGAAUGACGAAAAGGGCAGCGUAGCUACGUCUUUCGUUUAUCGCAUCGAGUAUUUGUUUUACCGUUAUAUGAGAUUUUUCGCGAAUACUUUGCCAACCAAAUGUCCAUUACGUCCGAACAAUCGAGUAUCGAUCGAGGAAAGAUCUCGUAUCGUACAAGGAUGAUCGCUAGUGCGCGCAAUUUUGAUCUCGCAGAAACGAAGGAAAUCGUAAAGGUGAUUAUUCAAAUAGAUCUCGCAAAUGUCACGAUCGUGCUUUCGUUUCUUACGAUUUAAUAUUUUUCUUUUCAUUAGCAACACCACCGUUUCACGGAACUUUCAACUGGUUUUUUGUUCAAUUUUUCCUAUCUGUUACUUAUUCUCGUUACGCCGCGUUUCAUUUUCAAUGAGAAUGGGAAAUCGAGACCACGAAAUCGAGAAUCAUCGUUUCCAGAUCGACGAACAAAUCAUCUAUAUAUAUAUACACAUUUUACUUUACGUAAAAGGAAACUGUGUUGCCAAUCGAAACUAAAAAUAUUAAUGUACCUUUGUCAAGAUAUUUUACGCUUACGUUUUCUUCUUUUUCGCGCUUGCGGUUUAGAACUACUGUAAUUAAUCGUAUAUCGAAGAGGCAACUGCCUUUUAUAUUCGUUGUAAGAGCGAGUUCACAGGCUACUAAAAAACGUUAAAGAGAAAACUUUGCUUUUUAGCGCACAAUACAUAGAGAUUUAGCCGGAAUAAGAAGUUUGUUGCUAAUUUAUCGACUAGUUUGUCAUCGAUAAUUCCGUAAUUCGAUAUUUUUCUGCCGGAAUACCUGCAUUUCAUCAAGGAAUAUCGACAUUUUACCCGCUGUCUUCGAUAAAUACGGUGAAAAACGAUCGGCAAUUUUGCAAGAUUUUUAAGCUGUUUCGACGAUAUUUUAUUACGAACGAAUUCUCGAAUUUAUACGCAACUGUUAUACUCGUGAUCCUUCUUACCCGUUAUAAAUUAUGUGAUAAUCGACAAUACCUUUUCUAAGGUAAUAAUUAAAGCGGUAAAUAGUAUUAGUAAUUAAUUAUUAAUAGCGUAACUAUCGUAUUAAUACGUUGUUCUAAACGAUAAAUUUGAUAAAUUCGAUGAAUUUAAUUAAAUUUAAAUACCGAACAAAGAGGAGAAAGAUCGCACGGCUCUGAUUCGAGAAUUCGAUUGCCGAUACGUGUGUUUGAUUUUAUGCAAGUACGGAGUGUCAUACUCGUUUAGUCGACGGUACCUUUACCACGUAGAGAAAUAUAUAUAUAUACUAGCGAUAUAUUUUGUUCGAUCAUAUAUUACAGUUACCAUGUACAUACUUACUUUUAUUAUGCUUAUUUUAUCGCCAUUUAUGUAUCUUGAAUUUUUUGUAAUAAUUUACACCAACGUUACUUCGGUGCAACCGAAUAGCUUUCGAUCGGCAAGAUCGUACAAAGUACGCGAUCGUUGGUUAAUUUACAAUUACGAUCGUCGAGUAAGAUAUACGUAUAAAAUAUACAACGCGUUUAAAUGAGAAUUUCCUCGUUCUUAUCGAUAAUCGUGCGUUUACGUUUGUCAAGAUUCUGUUCGUACGAGCUACACUGCAAAGUGUAAUCAUCGCGAGAACUAAAAGUCAUGGAUCCAAGCACGUAUACGUAUUAUCCCGUUGUCUCGCAAUGGACACUCCUUCGGUAAAUCCUGAAUAUUUCUCGUUUCUUUCGACGAACUAUCGAAUCGAGACGAUAUCCGUGACUCUUAGUCGUAGAUCGUCGCGACAAGGAUACGCGCGAGCCGAACGUCGUUCGAAAAAGUAUCUCCGAAUUGUACGAUUUCGUGAAACUCGUAGCUUAUUAUACUCAGUCUAUGUAUAUGUAUAGUAUGUAUACGUACGCGUACGCAACGCGCGUCGAACGAAACUGCGAUGAUCUUCGACGGGCGAGAAUGCCUGCGAAACCGACCAAAAAAAGUGAAAAAAGAAAAAGAAAGACGAAAGAAGAAAAAAAGGAAUGGAAAGAAAAGAGAAUCGCGAAGCAGAGGGGAUAAGAAAAGAAAAA
Molecule: long non-coding RNA, 4676 nt
Organism: Bombus impatiens (common eastern bumble bee)
Lineage: Eukaryota; Metazoa; Arthropoda; Insecta; Hymenoptera; Apidae
Exons: 2
Source: RefSeq, a predicted model, not a curated record